RNAcentral lists this long non-coding RNA (788 nucleotides) under Homo sapiens (human). RNAcentral's name for it is "HSALNT0121001". The record is from RNAcentral. Lineage: Eukaryota; Metazoa; Chordata; Mammalia; Primates; Hominidae.
GCAUCUUCAACCAGAGAGGCAAGAAAUAUUAAAGAAUGCUUCAUUAUAAUAAAGAAAAGGAUGACCCGUUUUUAAAAAGAAUGGAAUUAUGGGGAUCCAAAUGGAAUUCAAAUAAUCCUGGUUGCGUCCUGCACUCCAGUAUUUUGGAUGCAUUUGGGAAUGCUGUUGGAUCACUCUGGAUUUGCCUUUUCUCUAUAUUCUACCCGACAAGUUUAUAUUCAGCAGUAUCCCUCACACUGUGUGAAAAUUAGCAGUGGUUCAAGGAGGAAAUUUGGGGGUUUAUAUAAAGUAAGUGAUGAAUCUUCUUGGCUUAGAAAUGUGGUUCUUAAAAUAUAAGGCUUAUAGAUCAUUUUGAGAAACUUAUUAAAGUCAAGUAAAAGAAAACAUGCAUACCACAUACACAUUGCAUUUUGCAUUCAGUUCCAGGUCUAGAAAAAUAAGAAGCUUCAGGUCUAGAAUGUCAUUAUGGGAAGAUUUCCAUUUAGGUCUGUUUUAAAAAUAUCCAUAAUAGGUGAGAGGAAAGAAAUAGGAUUCUCACCUUGGGCAGCGAUAUAAUUCCUUUUACUAGUGACCAAUUAAUCCAACCCAUCAGAGUAACAUUUAAUCUUUCUUUUAAGUGGUUUCUAAAAAGGAACAACAGAAAUGGCACUGCUAAGAACUUUACAGAACUGGAAGUAGUAUCAAAGUGGCUCAAAACCAAAUAAAUAUAAUGUAAUAUACACCAAAUUCAAGUUUUAAAGCUACUCAAGCCAGGGAAGCAAAGGAGGAAAUGCUGAUUAUUUGGGGGA